GUGAAAUUUUUCAAUAAUUGUUUGAUUUCAAUUUGUAGUUCUAAUUUAUAACUAAUGUUGUGUGAUCAUCUGCAUCUAUACGUAUUGUUGUUUUGUUUUCAGGAGGUUGGAACUUGGAGUUUUAGAGCACUCAAAGCCUGAGAAGUUGUUUGCUACUUUUAUUCAUGCGAUGUUGGAACUUGAAGUGAAAGAGCUCUCAAAGCUUAAUAAGUUGCUUGCUCUUUUGAUUCCUGAGAAUAGGAAAGUUGUUGUUGUGUUUACUUGCUGACUAUUGUGAACUUGUGGCAAACUCCCAUGUGUGAUAUAUAAUAUAAGCUACGGAUGUAUUUGAUGUGAAGCUUGUGAAGUUGUGAACUUUGUGGGCGUUGAAGACCAUAUUGCAUGUUCCCUUUGUUGA
Molecule: long non-coding RNA, 397 nt
Organism: Syzygium oleosum
Lineage: Eukaryota; Viridiplantae; Streptophyta; Magnoliopsida; Myrtales; Myrtaceae
Exons: 2
Source: RefSeq, a predicted model, not a curated record